CCGCAUGAUGCCUACGGGCCAAAGAGGGGGACCUUCGGGCCUCUCGCGUCAGGAUAUGCCUAGGUGGGAUUAGCUAGUUGGUGAGGUAAGGGCUCACCAAGGCGACGAUCCCUAGCUGGUCUGAGAGGAUGAUCAGCCACACUGGAACUGAGACACGGUCCAGACUCCUACGGGAGGCAGCAGUGGGGAAUAUUGCACAAUGGGCGCAAGCCUGAUGCAGCCAUGCCGCGUGUAUGAAGAAGGCCUUCGGGUUGUAAAGUACUUUCAGUCGUGAGGAAGGCGGCGUCGUUAAUAGCGGCGUUGUUUGACGUUAGCGACAGAAGAAGCACCGGCUAACUCCGUGCCAGCAGCCGCGGUAAUACGGAGGGUGCGAGCGUUAAUCGGAAUUACUGGGCGUAAAGCGCAUGCAGGUGGUUUGUUAAGUCAGAUGUGAAAGCCCGGGGCUCAACCUCGGAAUAGCAUUUGAAACUGGCAGACUAG
Molecule: ribosomal RNA, 480 nt
Filed under: Vibrio diabolicus
Lineage: Bacteria; Pseudomonadati; Pseudomonadota; Gammaproteobacteria; Vibrionales; Vibrionaceae
Description: bacterial SSU rRNA
Rfam family: Bacterial small subunit ribosomal RNA
Source: RNAcentral